Non-coding RNA from Biomphalaria pfeifferi, 1242 nucleotides. Lineage: Eukaryota; Metazoa; Mollusca; Gastropoda; Planorbidae. The record is from the annotation of a GenBank genome assembly.
UUGCAAUUAGAAGUUUAUUAUUAGCAAUUAUGAAUGUCUAUUGUACAAAAUAAAAAAAAUUCUUUCGAAACUUCAAUACAGAUAUGUUCAUAUAGUCUAUAUCUGUCAGAUAUAAACAGAUGUCCACUAUAAACGUUAAAUAUAUUCGUUCGCUAGUUUAGCUUACGAACACAUCUAGUAGAGAUUUGAACUCGAGCCCCCUUGAUAGGUAGCCAAUCAGUUUUUACCACUCAACCACACACAGCCACAUUUUCUUUACACAAGGACACGAUCCAAAUACAUGAGUUUGUACUUUGGUUACACACACACACAUAGAUUGUUUCUUCUUCUGAAUCAUACACACACCCGAUUUACAAAACAAACAAUACACUAUUUUACUUUUCAGUCAUUUGAACCAGUCGUCUACAAGAGACAAGAUAAUGCAUUGAAGAAACAUCUAUGUAAGUUUAUAUGACAUCGGUUAAUCAAUAUUUGACAUUCAUUCAAUGACUCAUUGACAACCGGUCAUUAAUCAGUGACAUUAUGUCAUCGAAAAUUGACAUACCGUCAUCAAUCAGUAAGAUCUGGUCAUCAAUUAUUGACAUGCGGUCAUCUCUCAUUGACAUCCGGCCAUCAAUCAUUGAAUCGGUCAUCCUAAUUGAUAUUCUGUUACUAAACAUUGACAUCCGCCCAUCAAUCACUGACAUCCUUGCAUAAUAAGUCAUUGAUGUCGGGUUAUCAACCACUUACAGGCAUGAUUUAUAUAAGCAUUGGUCAUUAUGUUAUUCAACCUACAAGACACAUUUGAAUGUAGUACAAUAUUAGACUUUUUUAACAAUCAGUGGAAUCAUAAGGCCGACAUGACGCUGGUGGUACAUAUCAUGUAAAAAUAGGGGAUGGGUUUUGAAUUAGCCCGUUUCAUCACAAAGCAUGGUAAAGCGAGAGAGAAAGAAAGAAAGAGAGAGAAGCAAUACACAAAAGAUUUAGUUGAGAUUGAUUAAAACAUUAUGUGAUAUACACCAGUAGCGUUGCAAGGUAACCAUGAGUUCGGGUUCAAUAACAUUAUUGUAGAUGAAUGUAUUGAAGACCAAAUCGAGUCGGACUGCAUGUAUUAAUACAUGUCCAAAAAGCAGGUUCAAGUAUUAGCGCAAUUAUUUUUGAUACAGUAACAACUAAGUACCAGUAGAAGAUACAUACAUUUUAUAUCUUUCCAUAUUACAAAUCAAAAAUUGUGUUUUUCUUUGGUCUCUCCCCCCCCCCCCA